UAUGACAAUCAAAUCUAAGUCA
RNAcentral lists this microRNA (22 nucleotides) under Caenorhabditis brenneri. Lineage: Eukaryota; Metazoa; Nematoda; Chromadorea; Rhabditida; Rhabditidae. The record is from RNAcentral.